This 818-nucleotide long non-coding RNA is filed under the name Bos taurus (domestic cattle). Its description in RNAcentral is "long non-coding RNA NONBTAT007496". Lineage: Eukaryota; Metazoa; Chordata; Mammalia; Artiodactyla; Bovidae. The record is from RNAcentral.
CCGCUCCUUCCCCUUCCCUCUCCCUGCCAGCGUCACCGCUCUCCCAGCCUAGUCGCUGCCGCUGGCUCUCCCCGUCGCUGACGUGGCCACCGCGGGUGACUACCCGACCACCGGAAGCGCAGCCCUUGUAGGGCGCAGAGUCCUGAGGGCUCCGCGGGGCCGGAAGCCGGGCAACAGCCGCCCGCGGUCUCUGGCCUGGCUCUCAUCUUCCGAACGACUCACCGGUCCCGCAAAGGAGCUUUCACCAUGGGACCGCAUCUCUAAUGCUGAAAAGCAGCUGAAAAUACCCAGGACCACCUGAUUCUCUGACUCAGUGGGACUCAACCCCUGACCUCAGGGGAGUUUCCUGAGCCAUGAAGGAAGACUUGAGCUGAGCACAGAAGGAAACAUGGGAAAGGAUGUUGGUUAUUAUUUUCCCAGCUAUUAUCCUGACCUGAUUACUCUUGUCAUUAUGGGCUCUCACUAAAGCUCAGUUGAGGAUAACACUAAAUGCUACCGAGAAUAACUUCAGAUUCCUCGGAUCCCAUGUUCCUGCAUUAGGUAUUCACACAGAUUAUGGAAGCAGCAAGGUGGGUCUCCUGGCCCACACUCUCUUAUUAUAGAUACGCAGAGUGUGGCUCAGGGAAGUGACUCCCAGUCUGCCCACCAGGCUCCCUUCUGUGAACCACAUGGAUGAAAUGCUCAGCCUCCCUGGGCUGGGAGCCACGCACAGCUGAGAAACACCUUGGGCCCUGAAGCCAGAGCUGGCCACUACGGUACCUCUUCUUUAGAUUCUUCCUCCUGUCCCCAUUUCUUGAGUCUGUCUUUCUCCACACGUU